This 498-nucleotide ribosomal RNA is filed under the name uncultured Blastocystis sp. RNAcentral's name for it is "SSU rRNA". It matches the Rfam family "Eukaryotic small subunit ribosomal RNA", at positions 461 to 970 of the family's 1831-position model. The record is from RNAcentral. Lineage: Eukaryota; Bigyra; Opalinata; Blastocystidae.
GAGGUAGUGACAAUAAAUCACAAUGCGGAACAAUGUUUUGCAAUUGGAUUGAGAACAACGUACAAACCUUAUCGAUAAACAAUUGGAGGGCAAGUCUGGUGCCAGCAGCCGCGGUAAUUCCAGCUCCAAUAGCGUAUAUUAACGUUGUUGCAGUUAAAAAGCUCGUAGUUGAAAUGAAGGGUAGUUGUGUAAUGAAUACAUUCGUGUAUUUUGUUAUUCAACUACCCUCCUUCUAAAUUCGAUAUAUGAGUAUUAAUUUACUUGUAUAUGGUUUUAGACGUUUACUGUGAGAAAAUUAGAGUGUUCAAAGCAGGCAUUUGCUUGAAUAUAUUAGCAUGGAAUAAUCAUGUAUGAUUUUCAUGAUGUAUUUGAUUGGUUUGGUUCAUGAGAAUAAGAUUAAAAGGGACAGUUGGGGGUAUUCAUAUUCAAUAGUCAGAGGUGAAAUUCUCGGAUUUAUGGAAGAUGAACAAGUGCGAAAGCAUUUACCAAGGAUGUUUU